This is a long non-coding RNA of Amphiprion ocellaris (clown anemonefish), 4274 nucleotides long. RefSeq lists it as uncharacterized. Lineage: Eukaryota; Metazoa; Chordata; Actinopteri; Pomacentridae. The record is from RefSeq and is a predicted model, not a curated record. The transcript has 3 exons.
AGGUCACGCUCACCUGACUGACUUCAACAUAGCAACAAUAAUCAAGGAUGGGGAGAGAGCCACAGCCUUAGCUGGAACCAAGCCCUACAUGGCCCCAGAGAUCUUCCAGUCUUUUGUAAGUGGAGGGACGGGCUACGCCUUUGAAGUAGACUGGUGGUCACUAGGGGUGACAAUCUUCGAAGUGCUGCGUGGAUGGAGGCCCUAUGAUAUUCAUGCCAGUAACUCAGUGGAGUCCUUGAUUCAGCUCUUCAGUACCGUCAGUGUCCAGUACAGCCCAGCCUGGCCCAAGGAUCUGGUUUCCCUUUUGAGGAAGGUGAGAUCGACUUAAUGCAGCAUUAUUCAGUUUAAUCUCUUUCAUUUAAACAGUGAAAUUCUCCCCAGAAUUUAGAGCCGGAAAAUCGUUUCCCACUGAGAGAUAAAACUAUUAUUAGUCAUUUUGAUGUAGUUUUACAUUUUAUGCAAUAGUUAUUUGUAUUAGCUGCCAAUAAAAAUGACAACUGCAGAGAUUUAUUGAACAGAAUUGGAGCUGUCCCUACCUCUUAUCCCAUAAUUAUUUUUGAAAAUUUCCACUUGAAUAAAUGUUCCCAUAUUUAGUCAGUGACAGCUUCAUAACUGUGAGGACAAAAUGUAAAACCUUGAGCUCUGUGGAUAAGAGACACAACCAAGCCAGAACUGGAUGUGAAAAACUUAAACAAAAAUGGACUUUCACUUUUACCAUCUAUUUAAAAAAGUAAAUUAGAGAGUAGAGAGAGUAAAUCACAGUGAUCCAGUGUCAGUGGUAUUAGUGAACCUGUUAUAAAACUGCAGUUCUGCCAAAUCUGAUGCAACAGAAAGGGAGCACAAAAACAGCUACAUCCCUUUUCAUCAUAGUAGUAUCAGGUGACCUCUUCAUUAUAUUGACAUGCUCAGCAUGCAUUUUAAUAACAGAUACAGCCUGGUUCUAAUGCUGGCAUCUCUGGCGUGAAAAGGGUUGACACUAGAAAUUCAAUGGUGGUGCAGAGGCUUUGACUUUAUAUACACUCACUGGCCACUAAUUAGGUACGUCUUGCCAGUAAAAGGUUUCAGAACUGCUUUAAUUCUUCAUGGCAUAUUUUCAACAAGGUGUUGGAAAAGUUUCUCAGAGAUUUUGGCCACGUGAUUGGCUGAUAAGUAAUUUGUGUUAACAAGCAAUUGAACAGGUGUACCUAAUAAAGUGGCCGGUGGGUGUAUGUCAAGUGUGGCUUUUGCAUUUUGCACCUUUUUUUUCUCUAUAUAUUUUCCAUCCAUCCAUUAUCUAUAUACCGCUUAAUCCUCAUUAGGGUCGCGGAGGGCUGGAGUCUAUCCCAGCUGACUCAGGUGAAGGCAGGGGACACCAUAGACAGGUCACCAGUCUAUCACAGGGCUACAUAUACAGACAAAUAGUCACACUCACAUUCACACCUACGGACAAUUUAGAAUCACCAAUAACCCAAGCAUGUUUUUGGAGGAAGCCAGAGUACCCGGAGAAAACUCACACAUGCACAGGGAGAACAUGCAAACUUCAUGCAGAAGGAUCCUGGGAUCUUCUAGCUGCAAGGUGAAAGUGCUAACCACCAAGCUACUAUGCAGCCCUAUUAUUAUUUUAUGAUCUGUAUUCCUUAGUAUGUUGGUUUUGAGCUACUUUUGUGAGAAAGAUGGCUAGAUGUUUAUUUUUUAAACAAAAUAUGAUGAAAAUCAAUCAUUUUAGAAGUGAAAUGAUGGGUUGUUUUACUGAUUGUGAUCAUCAAAAUGAUCUACAACUACUUUAGCUAGUGGUUGUUUCAAUCAUUUGCCAAAAAGACUAAAAAUUUCCUGUUCCUGGCAACUUGUUUCUUUUCUUGGAUUUGCAUCACAGUAAAUUCUACAUGUUUGGAUUGUUGGUCGGACAAAACAAUGAAUUUGAAGUCAUCUUGGAACUUGUGGUCGUCAGUUUUCACUAUUUUCUAAACCAUCAAUCAAUGAAUCAAAAACUAAUCUGCAGAUUUAUUAGUAGUGAAAAUAGUCAGCAGCUGUAAUCAUUUUUGAAGUUCAAAAUACAGUUUGGUAAAACCUGAAUGUUUUGGAGGAUGUCAUGGAUGUGAAUUUUUGCACCAUAUAAGAGUGAAAAUUGGAGAGUGGCAGUGUAAAAUUCUUCAGUCCCACAGGUGAUUAACUCCUGCCUCACAUUCAGGUUUACAAAAUACACAGACUGACUAAACGUUGUCAGUACAGAUUGCAUUAUCCUCUAAUUUUUAGUGAGCACAGAGCUUCACUUUCACCUGUAAAAGUGACAGACCCUGCUGUCAGUGAAGCAUAUCAUCUGUCACUAAUUCACCUUUAUUUUGUAACUUGGCUGUUGUCGAGUUACUGGAUUGUGGAAACACCACUCUGUGAAACUAUUAAGUAUUUCUGUAGUCGCAACAAAUCCAGCAGAGCAUAUUGCAGGACAUCCCCACUGACUGAGCUUCAGGUUACAUUUCAGAUUAAGUGAAAUCAAAGUAAUUUGAUGGUGACCUUGCUGCCUGGAUGCAGAUGGUGUUCCCUAGAAAGAGGAGCAGGAUGAAAGCAGGGCAGAGGUGACGCUAAGAUUUGUAUUUUGGUAAAAAGUCACUGAAGCCACAGGAACAGAGGAUACAUGUUCCAUAGGGGGGCUUGAGCUGGAGGGAGGAGGAGCUGAGACCCUCAGGGCAAAGGAGGGGAAAAAACGACAGAUGGGAAUCUAAAGGAUGGAAGCACAGAAACAGAGCAAGUGUGUGAGGGGAGUUACUGUGUGUGUGUGUGUGUGUGUGUGUGUGUGUGUGUGUGUGUGCACAUGUGUGUCUGUGCUAUUAGUCAUGAUAACAAGUCAUUUAACCCAAUAUUGUCGCUCAAAAUGUGUGUUCUUACAUGUGAAAAUGUGCCAGUUGGAUGAAAUAAUUCGCUUUGCGUCGAAAGGAAAUAGAUCUCAACACUUUUCUUGAAUCACGCUCAUUUUCUCUACACUCAUAACCUACCUUAUCCUGCUCUGUGUCAACAUGUCAUCUGAACAAGAGGAAACAAAUUAUCUCGGGCCCUAUGGCAGUUCUUCUUAACUCACUUGAAGACAAGACAUUUUGAGAGAGUAUGAAAAACUGCGGCUUGUUCAGGAGGAUUUUGUUUUUAUUAUUAUUUUUGCAGAGUGCAAGUGUGGGCAUGAGUGUGUGCAUGUGCUCUUGCGACUGAAUGAGUUAGUGUUCUGGACGGAGCGAUGGUCUCUUCCGCUCUGCUGCUGAUCAAUUACCAUGUCUGGACUCCACCGAGACAGUCCUAACCGGCCCUGCAGGAGAAAACUGAAUCAGCCUGUGACCAAAAGAAAGAAAAUAAAGCACAGGAGGAGAGUUAACAUGACAAGAAACUCCACUCCCAUUAUCAUUUCCAGCCUUUACCCCAAGGUGAAAAAUGAAACAGAUGGUGUUCAAUUAAAAACACAACUGUAUCAGCAUCAGUUUUUAUCUUCUCCCUGGAAUAAAUGACUCCAGUCAUGUGUGUCAUUCAUCUGUCUUGAUGAGUGAAACAAUUUUGAUUCAAACCUGAUGAGUGAUUGAUUAACAGUGCCCCCUGUUGGUUACCAUAUUAGUAAAGGCCAGUUUUUCUUACAUUGCACUCCUCAGUCUUCAUCAUUUUUAAAUGAAUAUUUAUGAAGUAUAUAUAUUCAUAUUAAAAACUGCAAAAUUCUGAAGAUUAUUGUGCUCUUUUGAAGCUCUUUUUACUUCAUGGCACUUUUUAUUUCAUGACAGUAGUGCUGUCACCAUUUCCUCACCUUUCAGUCAGUCACAUGUACAGCGCUUGCUACCGCAUUUAGUCAAUUUGAUGAAACUGAACCUUUGUCAAACACCUCCUUCAGGGAAAAUCAACAUCAUUUUUACCUUGAUUACAUGUCCAUAUUGUACUUUUUGCUAGAAGACACAAAUGAAUUCAGCAGCAUUUCUGCAAUGACAAUCCAAAAACAUGGAUGCAUACUUCAUACAUAACAAACCAAAGGAACCAAUCCUGUCAGCUGGCAGGAUGGAGUUCUCUGUACCAGUAUUGUUGUUCAGAAUCAGUUUCUGGCUCAAACAUGUGUCUCUGAAUUACUCACAUAUUACAGCUUGCCAUUGUGCAGAAUAGACUUGUUUAACAUUGUUUGAACAGAGUUGAAGGUGAGCUGGUGUGCUUGAGUUGGAGAGAUUGAUUUACUGGUUUGUAUCAAGCACUUCUUACACUUUGGAGUCUUGAUCACCCAGUCUGUAUUUUUUUAUUUUUUUUAUUUCCAGUAGCUACCAACUGACAGUUGUCUCUAA